Long non-coding RNA from Frankliniella occidentalis (western flower thrips), 462 nucleotides. RefSeq lists it as uncharacterized. NCBI's taxonomy places the organism in Eukaryota, Metazoa, Arthropoda, Insecta, Thysanoptera, Thripidae. The transcript is spliced from 3 exons. The record is from RefSeq and is a predicted model, not a curated record.
CCACCACCCACCGCGCCAGGGCGCCACUGCCACGCCACGGGAGCCACGGGUCAUCGCCUUGUCGCCGGACCGAAAACACACGAAGACCGGAGGAAGACUCCAUCUGACUCCAUUAUUAUGUCACAUUAUAUCCAGUGUCGGUUGUUCUCGCCAAUCCAGUUCGUCCGCAUUGCAGUUGGCAGGCAGGGCGCUACCGCUGCCGCGGCCGCGCCAUGCCACGCCACGGAGUGCGGACUCCAGCGAAGCAUGCGCGAAGGAUGGCUGCGAGGACUGCUCUGCUACACCUGUAAUUUCGGGGAAAUUUACGAGGUCUCUCGCGGUGCCCGGCCGCGGCUUGCUUCGAUGAGGUGUCGUCACUUCGCCGCUCAGGAGGUAGUACACGGCGGGCCCGCCAUCUGCUCCCCGACCGGCUCUUUUGCGCCCGACGCCACGGACAAGGUGAGCCCCGCCAGCCCACACCCG